GCGAUAUGCUUAACACAUGCAAGUCGAACGUUGUUUUCGUCUAUAGAACAGUUGAAGACAAAGUGGCGAACGGGUGCGUAACGCGUGGGAAUCUGCCAAACAGUUUGGGCCGAAUCCCAAAGAAACGAAAGCUUUGCUGCUUGCUUGCUUGCUUGCUGCUUUUCGAUAAAGCUAAAAAGCGCUGUUUGAUGAGCCUGCGUAGUAUUAGGUAGUUGGUUGGGUAAAGGCUGACCAAGCCGCAGAUGCUUAGCUGAUCUUUUCGGACGAUCAGCCACACUGGGACUGAGACACGGCCCAGACUCCGUAGGGAGGCAGCAGUGGGGAAUAUCGGACAAUGGGCGAAAGCCCGAUCCAGCAAUAUCGCGUGAGUGAGUGAAAAACGUCGCGUUAGCGAGGAAGGGCAAUGCCGCUUGUAAAGCUCUUUCGUCGAGUACGCGAUUAUGACAAGACUCGAAGAAGAAGCCCCGGCUAACUCCGUGCCAGCAGCCGCGGUAAGACGGGGGGGGCAAGUGUUAUUCGGAAUGACUGGGCGUAAAGGGCACGUAGGCAGUGAAUCAGGUUGAAAGUCAAAGGCGCCAGCUCAACUGGCGGAAUGCUUUCAAAACCAAUUUACUCGAGUGGGACAGAGGGGAGUGGAAUUUCGUGUGUAGGGAUAAAAUCCGGAGAUAUACGAAGGAACGCCGAAGUAGCGAAGGCAGCUUUCUGGGUCUCUACUGACGCUGAGGUGCGAAAGCUUGGGGAGCAAACAGGAUUAGAUACCCUGGUAGUCCAUGCCGUAAACGAUGAGUGUUCGUCCUUGGUCCGCGGAUCGGGGGCCCAGCUAACGCGUUAAACACUCCGCCUGGGGAGUACGGUCGCAAGACUGAAACUCAAAGGAAUUGACGGGGGCCUGCACAAGCGGUGGAGCAUGUGGUUUAAUUCGAUACAACGCGCAAAACCUUACCAGCCCUUGACAUAUGAACACUUGACGUAUGAACACUUGACAUAUGAACCGGUGUGCUUGUCCUUAACGGGAUGAAACGAAAAUUCAUACAGGUGCUGCAUGGCUGUCGUCAGCUCGUGUCGUGAGACGUUUUUGGUUAACUCCUAUAACGAGCGAAACCCUCGUUUUGUGUUGCUAAGAUAUGCUGCUCCCAGAGGAUCAAUGUCAUCAUUCACCCUCGGCAAGCAGGAACAUAGAACAUGGGCUUCCGGUUCCGACGAGCGAGCCGCUUCAUCGGUACCUGCCCAUGAAUCUGUGUUCAGUCAGCGGUUAGCCAGGAUUGAUGACACUCCCUCUGUGCCGAUGUUGCACUCACAAGAGACUGCCCGUAGUUCUACUAUGGAGGAAGGUGAGGAUGACGUCAAGUCCGCAUGGCCCUUAUGGGCUGGGCUACACACGUGCUACAAUGGCAAUUACAAUAGGAAGCAGGGCCGUAAGGCGGAGCGAAUCCAGAAAGAUUGCCUCAGUUCGGAUUGUUCUCUGCAACUCGAGAACAUGAAGUUGGAAUCGCUAGUAAUCGCGGAUCAGCAUGCCGCGGCGAAUAUGUACUCGGGCCCCGUACACACCGCCCGUCACACCCUGGGAAUUGGUUUCGCCCGAAGCAUCGACCAGAGAUCACCCAUUACUAAAGUGUUCCAUGCCUAGUUGAGUGUGGCCCAUUUUGGUAUUGGUGGUCUUCUUGGCGCAUAUCACGGUUGGGUCAGUGACUGGGGUGAAGUCGUAACAUGGUAGUCGUAGGGGA
Molecule: ribosomal RNA, 1724 nt
Filed under: Azolla pinnata
Lineage: Eukaryota; Viridiplantae; Streptophyta; Polypodiopsida; Salviniales; Salviniaceae
Description: 16S ribosomal RNA
Rfam family: Bacterial small subunit ribosomal RNA
Source: RNAcentral